CUAUGGAAAGUGACAAGACAACCCUUUGAUUCUACUUAUGAUUCAUACCCACGCAUGCUAGGGAAUAGUGUUGGCAUUUUGUCAGCAGUGUUGCAUUAUGAGCUCUCAUUUGUGUUCCUUUUUUUCCCCAGGUGGAUUUAUUUCUUGUCCACAUCAAAAUGCAGAGACUGCUCCAUUCAUCAGGUCCAUGGCAUACAAAGGAGAUGUUAUCAACAUGUAUCUUGUAUCCUAGCUAGAAAAACUGAGAAUCAGAAGAAGCAUUCUGCAAGCAAACAGGAACAAAUGCCUGAAAGAUCUCAUAUCAGCAGCCAUUCAUUUCCCUGACCUGGUGACAAUCAUCCCUGCUCUGCACACCUGCGCCAACUCAGGACGAACCAGUUGUAUGGAGAUGAUGGGCAGAGAAGGAGAAAGGAUGUAUCAGAAUUAUGGAGAUCAUCUUCUGCAAAGGGAAAAAUCUUUGAUGAAGAAGGAAGCCCAUAAACCGUAUAAAAGUUUAUUUGGUGACUAAGGAGGAAGAGAAAAAAUAUAUAUAUUCUCUACAGCUCUUAUUUUCAAUACAUGCAUUAUAUAUAAUUUAUUUACAUAAUUGCCCAUUGCAUGCUGGUAUAGCUUUUUUUACAACUUCACUUAGAAAACUAUGCUGUGCGUUGGCCUAAGCACUCCGUCUGAAUGCAGAAGUGCUGUCUGGGUGCCUAGAAAUAACUUCUGGUGCCAUUGGUCAAUUUUAAUCGUAUUUGACAGGCUGAAGUUUGAGAGAGGAAGUUUCUUCCAGUUAUUUCAAGCAAGUGGUGGGUAGGUACAAAAACACCAGUGGAUGUUGCAGGCUGAAAGCUAAACUCAGCCUUAGAGAAAAGAGGACUCUACCUCUUAAUGUAGGCUACACAUUUUUUUAUGAUGCAUAGAAUUACUUAUGUAUGAUUUGCUUUCAUUCAGUUUUUUUCAGAUGUCCAGAGACUGUAGCAUGCAACGCAAUUGAAAGAACAACCAUUACCCUUGUUUUAAAAAGAAAUCCUUCAAAAAAAU
RNAcentral lists this long non-coding RNA (1023 nucleotides) under Chrysolophus pictus (golden pheasant). Its description in RNAcentral is "lncRNA (ENSCPIG00010010626.1)". Lineage: Eukaryota; Metazoa; Chordata; Aves; Galliformes; Phasianidae. The record is from RNAcentral.